This 286-nucleotide ribosomal RNA is filed under the name uncultured bacterium. RNAcentral describes it as "partial 16S ribosomal RNA". It matches the Rfam family "Bacterial small subunit ribosomal RNA", at positions 335 to 638 of the family's 1533-position model. The record is from RNAcentral.
UUUCCUACGGGGCGCAGCAGGGGGGAAUAUUGCACAAUGGGGGAAACCCUGAUGCAGCGACGCCGCGUGAGUGAGGAAGCGCCUCGGCGCGUAAAGCCCUGUCAGCAGGGAAGAAAAUGACGGUACCUGAAGAAGAAGCCCCGGCUAACUACGUGCCAGCAGCCGCGGUAAUACGUAGGGGGCGAGCGUUAUCCGGAUUCACUGGGUGUAAAGGGAGCGUAGACGGCCAUGCAAGCCAGGGGGGAAAGCCCGGGGCCCAACCCCGGGACUGCCCUUGGAACUGCAU